UACGUAGGGGGCAAGCGUUGUCCGGAUUUAUUGGGCGUAAAGAGCGUGUAGGCGGCUUGGUAGGUCCGCUGUGAAAACUCGAGGCUCAACCUCGAGAUGUCGGCGGAAACCACUUGGCUAGAGUCCGGAAGAGGAGAGUGGAAUUCCCGGUGUAGCGGUGAAAUGCGCAGAUAUCGGGAAGAACACCUAUGGCGAAGGCAGCUCUCUGGGACGGUACUGACGCUGAGACGCGAAAGCGUGGGGAGCGAACAGGAUUAGAAACCCUCGUAGUCC
RNAcentral lists this ribosomal RNA (273 nucleotides) under uncultured bacterium. RNAcentral describes it as "partial 16S ribosomal RNA". It matches the Rfam family "Bacterial small subunit ribosomal RNA", at positions 524 to 796 of the family's 1533-position model. The record is from RNAcentral.